This 464-nucleotide ribosomal RNA is filed under the name uncultured bacterium. RNAcentral's name for it is "partial 16S ribosomal RNA". It matches the Rfam family "Bacterial small subunit ribosomal RNA", at positions 28 to 507 of the family's 1533-position model. The record is from RNAcentral.
GACGAACGCUGGCGGCGUGCUUAACACAUGCAAGUCGAACGGAAAGGCCCUGCUUGCAGGGUACUCGAGUGGCGAACGGGCGAGUAACACGUGGGUGAUCUGCCCUGCACUUCGGGAUAAGCCUGGGCAACUGGGUCCAAUACCGGAUAGGAGCCAUUUUUAGUGGGAUGGUUGGAAAGUUUUUUCGGUGUAGGAUGAGCUCGUGGCCUAUCAGCUUGUUGGUGGGGUAAUGGCCUACCAAGGCGGCGACGGGUAGCCGGCCUGAGAGGGUGGACGGCCACAUUGGGACUGAGAUACGGACCAGACUCCUACGGGAGGCAGCAGUGGGGAAUAUUGCACAAUGGGCGCAAGCCUGAUGCAGCGACGCCGCGUGGGGGAUGACGGCCUUCGGGUUGUAAACUCCUUUCGCUAGAGACGAAGCUUUUGUGACGGUACCUAGAGAAGAAGCACCGGCUAACUACGUG